CCUACGGGUGGCAGCAGUGGGGAAUAUUGGGCAAUGGGCGCAAGCCUGACCCAGCAACGCCGCGUGAAGGAAGAAGGCUCUCGGGUUGUAAACUUUCUUUAAGAGGGAAGAGCAGAAGACGGUACCUCUUGAAUAAGCCACGGCUAACUACGUGCCAGCAGCCGUCGUAAUACGUAGGUGGCAAGCGUUGUCCGGAUUUACUGGGUGUAAAGGGCGUGCAGCCGGGAAGACAAGUCAGAUGUGAAAUCCCGCGGCUCAACCGCGGAACUGCAAUUGAAGCUGUUUUUCUUGAGUAACGGAGAAGUCAUCGGAAUUCCGUGUGUAGCGGUGAAAUGCGU
Molecule: ribosomal RNA, 338 nt
Filed under: uncultured bacterium
Lineage: Bacteria
Description: partial 16S ribosomal RNA
Rfam family: Bacterial small subunit ribosomal RNA
Source: RNAcentral